UAACUCCCUCCAUAAUGUAGGAAACAUUGCUUCUAUUAUUGUACAGGAGAACCCUCCAUAAUGUCUUAAGAUGAUAAUAGUCUCAUGUGAUGAUGUGAACAUGAUUUACAAAACCACUAGCAAGUUGUAUGCUCAAGCCAUCGCCAGCUUCUAUAAUCCUACAACUAUUUUUUCGGUCAAAAUUAAUUGCUUCGUAUUUUAAACUAAUCGUAUUAAAGUGGUGGUUUUCAA
Medicago truncatula (barrel medic) is the source of this 231-nucleotide long non-coding RNA. RefSeq lists it as uncharacterized. NCBI's taxonomy places the organism in Eukaryota, Viridiplantae, Streptophyta, Magnoliopsida, Fabales, Fabaceae. The record is from RefSeq and is a predicted model, not a curated record. The transcript is spliced from 2 exons.